GGUAACACUAACCAUGGCCGUAUCAACAAGGCCCCGUGUGGGGCUGUUGGACGCAGUGCCAUCCGGAGUGUCCACCACGACAAGAGCCAAGGCGUUCACAUCCUCCUCCGUUUCCAUCUCCGUGCGGUCAGCCACUAUGGCCCUAGCCAAGGCGGCGCCGUCAUCCAGAGAUGGAUUAUCCACCAAGACAGCUUCCUUCCGUGCUUUCUUCCUCUCGAACUCCUUCGUCCGGUCCUUCACCGACUUGAACGAGUCAUCCUCCACAUGCAAAUCCAGCGGCGGACUCCUAGAUUUCUUGCCCAUCAAGAAAGGUCUAGGCGGAGAGCAUGAAUGGAGAAAAACCCUCUAACACCGCCGUGGGGAGCGGUGCGAUCAGUCGGGCGUUGUCGGCGAGGGGCGCCGGCAACAAGGGAAGAAACGGCGAAGUCUUGCGGCGGUAGAAGAUGAUCGGAGACGGGCUGAGGGCGGGAGGCGCCACCAGCCGCGAGUUUUUGGGAGAGAAAAGUUGAGAGCAAAAUUUCGGCCCCUAGGGUUUCCGAAAUUUUGUUGCGCGCACAAUGACUCAACUGACAUGCAAAUCAUUCGACUGACUUGGGUAUAGGGGUGAAAGUCUAAUCGAACCGUCUAGUAGCUGGUUCCCUCUGAAGUUUCCCUCAGGAUAGCUGGAGCUCUAGUGCGAGUUCUAUCGGGUAAAGCCAAUGAUUAGAGGCAUCGGGGGCGCAACGCCCUUGACCUAUUCUAAAACUUUAAAAAGGUAGGACGGUGCAGCUGCUCUGUUGAGCCACGCCGGAGAAUCAUGAGCUCCAAGUGGGCCAUUUUUGGUAAGCAGAACUGGCGAUGCGGGAUGAAUUGGAAGCUGGGUUACGGUGCCCAACUGCGUACUAACCUAGAUCCCACAAAGGGUGUUGGUCGAUUAAGACAGCAGGACGGUGGUCAUGGAAGUCGAAAUUCGCUAAGGAGUGUGUAACAACUCACCUGCCGAAUCAACUAGCCCAAAAAAUGGAUGGCUCUAAAGCGCAUGACCUAUACCCGACCGUCAGGGCAAGGGCCAUGCGUCGAUGAGUAGGAGGGGACGGCGGUCGCUGCAAAACCCUGGGCACAAGCUCGGGUGGAGCGGCCAUCGAUGAGGAUCUUAGUGGUAGUAGCAAAUAUUUAAAUGAGAACUUUGAAGGCCGAAGAAGGGAAAGGUUCCAUGUGAAUGACACUUGCACAUGGGUUAGUCGAUCCUUAGGGUCGGGGAAAGCCCGACAGACAGCACGUUCAGCACGUGCUAUGAAAGGGAAUCGGUUUAAAAUUCCCAAAAAAGGAUGCGGCGGUUGACAACAAUGUUAGGGAGUCCAAAGACGUUGGUGGGGGCCUAGGGAAGAAUUAUCUUUUCUGUUUAACAGCCCGCCCACCAUGGAAAUGGCUCAGCUGGAGGUAGGGUCCAACGCUGGAAGAGAACCGCACGUCGCGUGGUGUUCAAUGUACCCCCGCAGCCCUUGAAAAUCUGGAGGACCGAGUACCAUCCAUGCCCGGUCGUACUCAUAACCGCAUCAGGUCUCCAAGGUGAACAACCUCUGGUCGAUGGAACAAUGUAGGCAAGGUAAGUCGGAAAAAUGGAUCCGUAGCCUCAGGAAAAGGAUUGGCUCUGAGGGCUGGGCACGGGGGUCACAGUCUCGAACCCAUCGACUGUCGACGAACUGCUUGAACUGCUCGCGCAGCAAGAGCUGGUCAUCGCGUGCCGACCGGGGGACAGAUUGGGAACGGCUCCCUCGAGGGCCUUCCCAGGCGUCAAAAAAUAGACUCAGCACUGGUACGGACAAGGGGAAUCUAACUGUUUAACUAAAAUAAAGUAUUGUGAUGGUCCCUGCGGAUGCUCACGCAAUGUGAUUUCUGCCCAGUGCUCUGAAUAUCAAAGUGAAGAAAUUCAACCAAGCACGAUUAAAUGGCGGGAGUAAUUAUGACUCUCUUAAGGCAGCCAAAUGCCUCGUCAUCUAAUUAGUGAUGCGCAUGAAUGGAUUAACGAGAUUCCCACUGUCCCUAUCUACUAUCCAGUAAAACCACAGUCAAGGGAAUGAGCUUGGCGGAAUCUACGGGAGAAGAAGACCCUGUUGAGGUUGACUCUAGUCCGAACAGCCAAAGGAACAGGCUUGGCAGAAUCAGUAGGGAAAGAAGACCCUGUUGAGGUUGACUCUAGUCCGACUUUGUUAAAUGACUUGAGAGGUGUAGGAUAAGUAGGAGCCGAAAGGCGAAAGUGAAAUACCACUACUUUUAACGUUAUUUAACUUAUUCCGUGAAUUGGAGGUGGGGCAUUGCCUCUCUUUUUGGACCCAAGGCUCACCUCGGCAGGCCGAUCAGGGCGGAAGACAUUGUCAGGUGGGGAGUUUAGCUAGGGCGGCACAUCUGUUAAAAGAUAAUGCAGGUGUCCAAAGAUGAGCUCAAUGAGAACAGAAAUCUCGUGUGGAAUAGAAGGUUAAUUCUGAUUUCCGGUACGAAUACGAACCGUGAAAGCAUGACCUAAUGAUCCUUUUGACCUUCAAAAUUUGAAGCUAGAGGUGUCAGAAAAGUUACCACAGGGAUAACUGGCUUGUGGCAGCCAAGCGUUCAUAGCGACGUUACUUUUUUAUCCUUCGAUGUCGGCUCUUCCUAUGAAUGUGAAGCAUAAUUCACCAAGUGUUGGAUUAUUCACCCACCAAUAGGGAAGAUGAGCUGGGUUUAGACCGUCAUGAGACAGAUUAGUUUUACCCUACUGAUGAUGGUGUCGCAAUAUUAAUUCAACCUAUUACAAGAGGAACCGUUGAUUCGCACAAUUGGUCAUCGCGCUUGGUUAAAAAGCUAGUGGCGCGAAGCUACUGUGUGCUGGAUUAUGACUGAAUGCCUCUAAGUCAGAAUCCGAGCUAGACGCUACACAUGCGCACGUCAUCUGCUCCCCGACCUGCAGUAGGGGCCCCUAGGCCCCCAAGGACACAUGUCGUUGGCUAAGCCCCCCUCGGCGAACGAGCCGCGUGGGCCGCCUCAGAGUACAAUUCCAAUCGAGCGGUAGGUAGAAUCAUUUACGGAUGACUUAAAUACAUGACCAGGUAUUGUAAGUGGCAGAGUGGCCUUGCUGCCACGAUCCGCUGAGAUUCAGCCCUCGUCGCUUUGAUUCGU
Molecule: ribosomal RNA, 3132 nt
Filed under: Pogostemon cablin (patchouli)
Lineage: Eukaryota; Viridiplantae; Streptophyta; Magnoliopsida; Lamiales; Lamiaceae
Description: eukaryotic LSU rRNA
Rfam family: Eukaryotic large subunit ribosomal RNA
Source: RNAcentral